UUGCCAUCUAAGUAUUUCCCUCUCUAUCCCUCGCUGUCUCUCAGUGUCCGUUCAGGAGAGUUUGGAGAGGAAGUUUGGAAAACAGGGAGGGUCGAUCCCUGUUGUUCCCACCGCUGACUUCCAGGCCAGAGUUGCUGAGCUUCUGAGAAGGACAUUGUUCACUCUGGCCUGGCCUACACCAUGGAGAGAUCUGCCAGGAGCUGGCUCUGGCCCUCGACCACCUGCACCAUCUUGGCAUAGUUUACAGAGACCUCAAACCAGACAUGUAUUUUGUGGGACGAAGCAAGGGGACAAGAUGAGGGAAAGUUCCGCUAACAAGGGCAACUACUAGGAGCUUGCAGAGGUAAUUUCACAUUAUUACGCUUUACUUGCUGAGCACAUGGACAUUUCUUCUGUUUUCUCUGUGAUGUC
Molecule: non-coding RNA, 411 nt
Organism: Oncorhynchus mykiss (rainbow trout)
Lineage: Eukaryota; Metazoa; Chordata; Actinopteri; Salmoniformes; Salmonidae
Source: RefSeq, a predicted model, not a curated record